UAGGGAAUCUUCGGCAAUGGGGGGAACCCUGACCGAGCAACGCCGCGUGAGUGAAGAAGGUUUUCGGAUCGUAAAGCUCUGUUGUUAAGGAAGAACGAGUGUGAGAAUGGAAAGUUCAUGCUGUGACGGUACUUAACCAGAAAGGGACGGCUAACUACGUGCCAGCAGCCGCGGUAAUACGUAGGUCCCGAGCGUUGUCCGGAUUUAUUGGGCGUAAAGCGAGCGCAGGCGGUUAGAAAAGUCUGAAGUGAAAGGCAGUGGCUCAACCAUUGUAGGCUUUGGAAACUGUUUAACUUGAGUGCAGAAGGGGAGGGUGGAAUUCCAUGUGUAGCGGUGAAAUGCGUAGAUAUAUGGAGGAACACCGGUGGCGAAAGCGGCUCUCUGGUCUGUAACUGACGCUGAGGGUCGAAAGCGUGGGGAGCGAACAGG
RNAcentral lists this ribosomal RNA (429 nucleotides) under Bacteroidota bacterium. Its description in RNAcentral is "Bacteroidetes bacterium partial 16S ribosomal RNA". It matches the Rfam family "Bacterial small subunit ribosomal RNA", at positions 355 to 776 of the family's 1533-position model. The record is from RNAcentral. Lineage: Bacteria; Pseudomonadati; Bacteroidota.